AGAUUGAACGCUGGCGGCAGGCCUAACACAUGCAAGUCGAGCGGUAGAGAGGUGCUUGCACCUCUUGAGAGCGGCGGACGGGUGAGUAAUGCCUAGGAAUCUGCCUAGUGGUGGGGGAUAACGUUCGGAAACGGACGCUAAUACCGCAUACGUCCUACGGGAGAAAGCGGGGGACCUUCGGGCCUCGCGCCAUUAGAUGAGCCUAGGUCGGAUUAGCUAGUUGGUGAGGUAAUGGCUCACCAAGGCGACGAUCCCGUAACUGGUCUGAGAGGAUGAUCAGUCACACUGGAACUGAGACACGGUCCAGACUCC
RNAcentral lists this ribosomal RNA (312 nucleotides) under uncultured soil bacterium. RNAcentral describes it as "bacterial SSU rRNA". It matches the Rfam family "Bacterial small subunit ribosomal RNA", at positions 26 to 339 of the family's 1533-position model. The record is from RNAcentral.